AAAUCAUUUUGCAUAUAAAAUUGUUAUUUUCAAAUGAAUUACAUGCCUGUAUGAUUAUUGAUUAAAGUAUGAUAAGUAAAGUAGCUUAUUUAUUUAAGUCAUGUUUAGUGCUUAUUAUUAUUCUUUAUAUUAUGCUUGUAUUUUUAUUCAUUUCAUUUGAUCCUUAUUUGAGGCAGGACAAUGGCAUUAAACAAUUGUCCACUGGAGAAAUUAAAAGCUCUGGCAGAAUAUCUACAUUUGUUUGUAAGAGACAAUAACUUGGUGGUAGGGGCAGCCAUCAGGUGCUGCUGUAGGAGUUGUAGCUGCAGCUUGGUUGACUGCAGAUGGAGAGAGACCUCUAACCCAAGUUCUCAGGGAUCUUCCACCUGAAAUGGCAGUGGGACUCUCUGAUGGUGGCAGUGCACUGCUUGAACAGUGGGUCUGGCCUGAUCCGGCUGCCCUGCAGGAGAGGGUUAUGACUGAUGAAAUCCUACAGAACAGAAUUCUAAAUUACCUUCAAAGUUUUUUUGAGCAACAACGCAUGGUAGUUGUACCAGAUUACUCUAAACAAAAAAUACAAAUUCAAACUAACAUCUACUAAUGUCUAACAAAGAUAUUUUGUACUUGGAUAACUGGCACCCAAUCACGCUGCUUAACUCAGAUUACAAAUUAUUAGCGUCCUUAUAUGCCAAAAGAUUAAAACCAUGUUUAGAGGAAAUCAUAUCUAUCUAUCACACAGUCUGGAUUUAUGAAGGGGAGAAAUAUUUCAAACAAUAUCAGACUGGUACUGGACCUUUUAGAUCAUUCAGAUUUAGUAAAUGAGGUGAGGAAAUGAGUAAAAUGAUUUAAAUGUGGAAGCUCUGAUUUUGUUUUUAGAUUUUUACAAGGCUUUUGACACUGUUGAGCACAAUUUCAUGUAUCAGACCCUUGAUAGGUUUGGUUUUGGCCCAACCUUUAAAAAUAUGGUGCACAUAUUUUAUAAUAACGUUUCAAGUAGUAUUUCUUUAUCCGUACACCUUCUCGUUUUGUGGAGGAAUUAGACAGGGGUGCCCUAUUUCCCCAUUUUUAUUUUUAUUAGUGGCAGAAACUUGAAAUCUUUAUACUGUACAUUGCUCCCAAAUUAAAGGUAUUGAGAUAGGAGAGUUCACUUUAACUAUUGCCGAUGAUACUUGUUUAUUUCUGAAGAACAAAGAUCAGGUCCCUAUUAUUUUGAAUAGUAGUAAGUUAAGUAACUUAAGUCGUUCUCGGAUGCUUUAUCAGUCAAUCACUGCAACAGUGAAAUUAUGGCAGUACACCACCUAGCUGACUCAAGUAUAUCUGGGAUACAGGUUAAACAGGUAGUUAGAUACUUGGGCGUUAUAAUUAGUAAAUCAGCCUCAGAGAGAAUUACAGAAAAUUUCUCACAUAGAUUACAAAAGACAAGAAAUAUUUUCGAUUGUUGGCUCCAAAGAAACUUAUCUAUUCAAGGUCGAGUGUUGAUGUCCGAGGCUGAAGGGAUUUCCAGACUUAUAUACCCUGCAUUAUCCCUUUAUGUAGACUCUAAUACGUGUUCCACAUCUGACAAAACUUUAUUUAAAUUCAUCUGGAAAGGCAAGACGGCGUACGUUAAAAGAAAAACUAUAAUUAGAAGUGUAAUAGAAGGAGGAUUAAACGCUAUAGAUUUUAAUACCAUUAAUAGUGUCCUUAAAAUUAAUUGGAUCAAGCACUGUCUUUGUGAGAAUAGUUUUCCAUGGUUCUCUAUCCCCAAUGUUAUCUUUAAAAAAUGUGGUGGUCUUCAUUUUUCACUUGCCUGUGAUUUCAAGUGCACUAAACUCCCUAUUAAUUUAUCGAAUUUUCACAAACAGGCUUUGGAUGUGUGGAAAUUGGUUUAUAAACAUAAUUUCUCUCCCCAUUCAUUUGUUAUUUGGAACAAUCAAUAUAUAUUAUUUAAGAACAAGACCAUUUUCUGGAGUGAUUGGUUUAACAAAGGUUUAAUUUUUGUUACAGAUCUAUUAAAUCAUUUAGGUGAUCUAUAUAAAUUACACAGAAUUUAUUCGUCAUUUUGGAUUAAAUGUAUCUUCAGGUGAAUAUAUAAAACUAAUUCAUUGUAUUUCUCCUAAACUACUUCACCUUAAUAAAAAUGAGAAGAUUUAUAAGCCUGUAUCUGGUUCUCUUCCAGCUCCAACUGCUGAGGGCCUUUCUAUCAGGUAUAAAAAAUUCAACAACCAUUAUAUUAGGAAGAUCUUAACCAAAGAAAAAAGUGUUCUUCCUAAGGCGUUGAUGAAGUGGAAACAGAAUUAUCCUUCAUUUAUUUUUCAGAAUCCGUAGUCAGACAUGAAUAAAUAUGUAAUUCCUAAAAAAGUCAAAGAAACUCAUUUUAAAAUAACGCAUAGAUAUUAUCCACGUCAUGAUUUUAUUAGUAAGUUUAAAGAAGGGUUCUCAUUAUUAUGUUGUUUUUGUAAAGAGGAGUCAGAAACUAUCUCUCACUUAUUUAAUUAACGUAUGUAAUUAUACCAAAUUUUUCUGGUCCCAACUUUCUUUGUCUGUUUUUUAAUUGUUUCACAACAGAUAUAGUGGUCUUGUUUUCGGAUUGUGAAACUGGUAUUUUGGAAAUGGACAAUAUAAUUAAAAUUCUUGUUUUAUUUGGGAAAUAUCACAUACACAAAGCAAAAUGUUUGUUAACUGUACCAAAUGGUAGACUGUUUUCAUUGAUUUCAGUGAUUCCCUAACUUCAAUACAGAAGAAGCGUAAAGCUGUUAAGACAUCUCAACUGUUGAAGAGGAUGCUCGAUGCAUCAGAUGUAUAAAGCAAACUUUGAUGUAAAAUGUGGAUUUACUGUAAUAAAUCUUUGUAUGAAUUUGUAUUCCCCUAUUAUUAUUCAAAAUUAUAAAAAAAAUAAAAAAAUUCUUUGUGCGGUUCGCUGCCUCUGACUACUCCAAUUAUCCAAUCAAAGGACAGGAAAUUGCUGACGUAAUCGUAUGCCUGUUAGAUGGCCCCAGUGACGCCAACACGAAAUCUGAUUGGUUAAUGAAACAAUUGUUCUUAUUGUUUACUCUCAUAAGCAUAAACAUGAAAUUAAUCCUGAAAUUAAUCAUCAUUAAUAAAUCCUUUAUUCUUCUGAUAGUUUAAGUGAAAUAAACAACAUUUGGCAUUUGUGGGUUUUGGGGUUUGGAUUUUAUUUUGGUAGUCUUUAUAUUUUGGCCGUGGUUUUAUUACAAAAAUUACAAGUUCAUCUGAAAGAAACAACCGCCUAACAAAAUUAACCAAGAAGAUACCAGCUUUUAAGAUGAAAAAAAUGAUGUUAAAACAUAUAUAUGUACACCUAACAUUUAAAGAGGCAUGAUAUGGAAAGAUACACUACCAGUCAAAAGUUUGGACACACCUUCUAAUCCCAUGGUCUUUCCUGAUGUUUAUUUCCUUCUACAUUGUAAAACAAUGCUGAAGGCGGCCGAAAUCCACAGUAAUGUCCUUUGAACAGUGGAUAUUGAGAUAUGUCUGCUACUGAUGCUCUGUAAAGCCUUCAUAACGCCUCUAAUCUGAGGUGCUGUUAAUUGGUGAUUUCUGAGGCUGGUCACUCUAAAUGAACUUCUCCUCUGCAGCAGAGGUCAGUUUUGGUCUUGCUUUACUGGGAGGGUCUUCACGUGAGCCAGUUUCAUCAUGGUGCUUGAUGGGUUUUGCAAAUGCACUUGACAAUACUGUUCUUGCAAGAACUAUUCCAGAACACCUGACCUUCGUGUCUUAAAAUAACAACUGACUGGUUUUUGUUGUCCUUACAUAUGGAUUACUGAAGUCCUUGUGUGUUAUUUCCUAGUUUUGAAAUCUCCAGGAUUGUUCAGGAAUGUAGAAAAUAAAUCCCUAAACACAAAACACUGAAGUAGAAGGUGUGUCCAAACUUUUGACUGGUAGUGUACGUUUUCCAAAUCUGAACCUGAGCAGUAAAAUGUUAGUAGCCUUCAGGACAAGCCAUGGAAAUGGGACUUGAGGGGAAGUAUGAGGGUAGUGAGUACUGUGUCCACAUUAUUGGUAUUAUGUCAAAUUCAUUUAAUGUGGUUGUCGAACCCUGUCAAGGGCGUGUCUUGUGUCGCGUGUCAUAGAGACACGUCACACUGGAAAGCACCACUGAAUAAUUUGCUAAACAAAUCAUAUGUAGAUAAAUGUCUUUUCUGGAAAGUGAAAGUGUUUUUUAUCUGACUAGGUCUGUGUCCUUUGUCCUUAUUUGAUUUUUUUCUUACAUACAGUAAGAAAACAUUUUUUUUCAAGGUAAGGGUACUGUAUUAUGAUACUCAGAAGUGGUUCCAUCGGAGCAGCCUGUGCUGGUGUGGGAAGUGUUUUUGGACAGUGGCAGGUUUGCUACACAUACAGAUUACCAGUAAAACAGAACUGUGGAUGUUUGCUUCUGCAUACAAAAUAACUUUUAGAAUUAAUAAUAAAUAAUAAAUAAUAAUAAAUAAAUACAGAAUUAAUUUCUUGAAUUGUGAUCUUUUCAGGUGCUGCUGUAGGAGUUGUAAAUGCAGCUUGGUUGAGUGCAGAUGAAGAGAGACCUCUAAUCCAAGUUCUCAGGGAUCUUCCAACUAUACUAAUAGUAGACGUCCUCGGUGGUAUCAGUGCACAGCUUGGUGGGAGGGUCUUACAGCCUAGAUGCACUUUUCACCACUUUACACUGUGGAUACACUACUAAAAUUAAUAUAGACUUAAAAUAUUCCAUAUAACCUAGAGUCUGUCUUUACCUGAAUGCUGCAGUCAAAACAUGCUUACUAAUUACUCACACACAAGUUAUCUAAAACCCACACCUUCAGCUACACUACUCAAUCACAGUCUUAAUCUGAAAUACUGAAAAUGCCCUUGUGGUAACUAGUGUUUUUUUCAUUUGUGUAGCUGUUUUGAUUGGAUUCUUUGUUUUCUAUUCUGCAGCUUAGCUAUUUAUGUCAGUGUUUCCUGUUUGUAGUUGUUUCUGUUGGUAUCUCCCUUUCGCUGUGUUGUGUUGUGUGGCUGGAUUAGUUCAUUACUGUGCUCCCCUUUCUCUGUUGUUUGGAUUGUAUGUUUGUUUCAUUAGAACUAACAUACAGCUAAAGCCUAGUUGUUCUUAUUGUUUACUCUCAUAAGCAUAAAAAUAUCAAAAUAUAUUUCACUUUCUCUGUAAAAUGUCAGACUGUGUGUGUGUGUGUGUGUGUGUGUGCAAAAUUCUCUUUCUCAAAUCUCUUUCUCCUGAAAUUAAUCAUCAUUAAUAAAUCCUUUAUUCGUUUUGAUAUUUCAAGUCAAAUAAACAAUAUUUAGCAUUUCUGGGUUUUGGAGUUAUUUUCACCGUGAUUUUUUUAACAAAAUUUACAGGUUCAUCUGAAAGAAACAACCACCUAACAAAAUGAACCAAGAAGAUACCAGCGUUUAAGAUAGACCUUAUGGUGACUAUAUAAAGCUCACAGUAAACACAGAAGCAGUGUAUGAAACCUUCUUCUUCUUCUUUUGCAUGAAAGACGAGAGCUUUAAAGUCCCAAGCUCAAUCGUUAAUAGUUAAUAGAGGCAGAGAAAGACGACGACACUUUAUUUAAAGGACAAUGGCAGCAAACUGGCCGAAUGCUAUUAAGGAACUGAUAAAUACUGUGGCACGAGAGCUACGUUUGUUUGUAAGGAACUACAACAUGGUGGCAGGAGCAGCCAUUGGAGCAGCCUGUGCUGGUGUGGGAAGUUUUUUUGGCCCAGUUGGGACAGUGGCAGGUGCUGCUGUAGGAGUUGUAACUGCAGCUUGGUUGACUGCAGAUGAAGAGAGACCUCUGACCCAAGUUCUCAGGGAUCUUCCAACUGAAAGAGCAAUGGAACUCUACACUGGUGUCAGUGCACUGCUUGAUGGGUUGAACUGGCCUGAUCCGGCUGCCCUGCAGGAGAGAGUUAUGAGAAAUGAAAUCCUACUGAACAGAAUUCUAAGUGUCAUUCAAAGUUUUUUUGAGCCACAACGCAUGGUAGUUGUACCAAGAUUACUCUAAACAAAAAAUACAAAUUCAAACUAAUCUCUAUCUUCUACACCUGUAGUGUGUGUGUGUGUGUGUGUGUGUGUGUGUACCUGUGUGUGUGUGUGUGUGUGUGUACGUGUGUGUGUGUGUGUACCUGUGUGUGUGUACGUGUGUGUGUGUGUGUGUGUGUGUGUGUGUGUGUGUACCUGUGUGUGUGUACGUGUGUGUGUGUGUGUGUACCUGUGUGUGUGUACGUGUGUGUGUGUGUGUGUGUACCUGUGUGUGUGUGUGUGUGUACCUGUGUGUGUGUGUGUGUGUGUGUGUGUACCUGUGUGUGUGUGUGUGUGUGUGUGUGUACCUGUGUGUGUGUACGUGUGUGUGUACCUGUGUGUGUGUGUGUGUGUGUGUACGUGUGUGUGUGUGUGUGUGUGUGUGUGUGUGUACCUGUGUGUGUGUGUGUGUGUGUGUGUACCUGUGUGUGUGUACGUGUGUGUGUGUGUGUGUGUGUGUGUGUGUACCUGUGUGUGUGUACGUGUGUGUGUGUGCCACAGAGAAUCUCACUGUAAGAAAAAGAAAUCCUGUAUACCUUUACUAUUUUUAGUUUUCUUGAGUUUUUAAACUAAUAGUAGACAUUCUGAAGACCUGACCUAAAUGUAACCUCAGAUGUGUGAAAAUGUUCCUUACUGUAUGAUAAAGAUUAAACAGAUGAUGAUCAUUUUACUAUAAAGACUGUAACUAAUCACAUUUGUAAUCAUUUACUUAUUAUUAAUUAAAUACCUGUAUACUUACUUAGGAUUAAUUAAAUACAUCUAUAAAUUAU
This is a long non-coding RNA of Hemibagrus wyckioides, 6723 nucleotides long. RefSeq lists it as uncharacterized. The record is from RefSeq and is a predicted model, not a curated record. Lineage: Eukaryota; Metazoa; Chordata; Actinopteri; Siluriformes; Bagridae. The transcript has 5 exons.